UACCGCCCAAUCUCACUCCUCAACGCCGACGUCAAGCUGUUCUCGAAGGUUCUGACUAAAAGACUACAAAGACAUAUGACUAGACUAAUACACCCAGACCAGACGGGCUUCAUACCUGGCCGAGAGGCCAGAGACAACACCCUAAGGCUCUUCGCCAUACAACAUCUAUCAAAGAAAAUGGGAACGAAGCUACUACUGCUGUCGACGGACGCUGAAAAAGCCUUCGACAGAGUAGAUUGGCACUUCAUGACGGAAGCACUACGUGCGACAGGUAUCGGAAACGGCAUGCUCACAUGGAUCACGGCACUAUACAACCAACCAACUGCCAGGAUUCGAGUAAAUGGGGCACUCACGG
Non-coding RNA from Pelobates cultripes (western spadefoot toad), 355 nucleotides. The record is from the annotation of a GenBank genome assembly. NCBI's taxonomy places the organism in Eukaryota, Metazoa, Chordata, Amphibia, Anura, Pelobatidae.